RNAcentral lists this unclassified non-coding RNA (710 nucleotides) under Atta cephalotes. Its description in RNAcentral is "misc RNA LOC105622001". The record is from RNAcentral. Lineage: Eukaryota; Metazoa; Arthropoda; Insecta; Hymenoptera; Formicidae.
UUCUCUAUGAGUGGGUUCGAAGAGACACUAUUCGCUAUUUAGUGUUACAAACUUCGCGAAGGUGCAGAUAUCGCUAACAAAUACAAUCAUGACUAAUGUACGAAUAGUGUUUCCCCAAACGCACCCUAUACUGCCGGAUUCGCUAAAUGGAAUAACUUGCAACAUUUCGUCGCCAUAUUGAACAUUCAUAUAUGUACGAUGUAUGAUAAGUGUCACUGUUCGUGAAUUAUAUUUAAAUGUAGAAAUAAAAUAAGUUGCUUUAUAAAUAAUGGCUUGUUGCAUGGAUGCAAUUUCAGAAGAGACAAAAAAGGAACAGCAAGAAAAAGCUUGUUUACAUCUCGCACAAAUGAUAUGUUUACUUCUUGGUACAAUAUUAUGUCUACUAAAAAUAUAAAAAUAAAUAGGAAUAGCAGAGUUUGUGAAUUACAUUUUAAGUCAGAAGAUAUUAUUAAAGAAGAUGUAUUUAUGCAAGCAGAUGGAAAAAUCAUUUAUGUGACAAGAAAAAAUCCAAAAUUAAAAGAAGAAGCAGUUCCUUUAAUUUUUCCAAUAAAAAAGACACCAUAUUUUGAGCCGAUGGAAUAAUAAUAUUGAUGACGUUAUCUUAUAAAAGUUUCUAACUGAAUGUGAAACUUCUGAAACAGUUUUAUAUUUAGCAGAAAAAUAAUUCCUUCUACAUUAUAUAUAAUAAAUAAAGCAUUGCAAAUAGAAAA